This 253-nucleotide ribosomal RNA is filed under the name uncultured bacterium. RNAcentral describes it as "partial 16S ribosomal RNA". It matches the Rfam family "Bacterial small subunit ribosomal RNA", at positions 524 to 776 of the family's 1533-position model. The record is from RNAcentral.
GACAGAGGGGGCGAGCGUUGUCCGGAGUCACUGGGCGUAAAGCGCGCGCAGGCGGUAACCUUAGUGUCGUGUGAAAGCCCGCGGCUCAACCGGUGGAGACCAUGGCAAACUGGGUCGCUCGAGCUGCGGAGAGGCUCCUCGAAUUGCAGGUGUAGCGGUGAAAUGCGUAGAGAUCGGGAGGAAGGCCAAGGGGGACGCCUGGGGGCUGGCCGCCGACUGACGCUGAGGCGCUAAAGCGUGGGUAGCAAACCGG